RNAcentral lists this ribosomal RNA (289 nucleotides) under uncultured bacterium. RNAcentral's name for it is "partial 16S ribosomal RNA". It matches the Rfam family "Bacterial small subunit ribosomal RNA", at positions 335 to 612 of the family's 1533-position model. The record is from RNAcentral.
ACUCCUACGGGAGGCAGCAGUAGGGAAUUUUCCGCAAUGGACGAAAGUCUGAACGGAGCAAUGCCGCGUGAGUGAUGAAGGUUUUCGAAUUCGUUAAAGCAUCUGUUGUAAGGGAAGAAUAGCAAGAAUAGGAAAUGAUUCUUGUCUGACGGUACCUUACCAGAAAGCCACGGCUAACUACGUGCCAGCAGCCGCGGUAAUACGUAGGUGGCAAGCGUUAUCCGGAAUUACUGGGCGUAAAGCGCAUGCAGGCGGCCUGUUAAGUCAGAUGUGAAAGCCGGCUAGGCUA